This 472-nucleotide ribosomal RNA is filed under the name uncultured Glomus. RNAcentral describes it as "SSU rRNA". It matches the Rfam family "Eukaryotic small subunit ribosomal RNA", at positions 569 to 1049 of the family's 1831-position model. Lineage: Eukaryota; Fungi; Glomeromycota; Glomeromycetes; Glomerales; Glomeraceae. The record is from RNAcentral.
AGCAGCCGCGGUAAUUCCGGCUCCAAUAGCGUAUAUUAAAGUUGCUGCAGUUAAAAAGCUCGUAGUUGAAUUUCGGGGUCAAUAUGUUGGUCGUGCCUUGGUACGUACUAGCUUAUUGAUUUCUCCUUUCUGACGAACCAUGAUGUCAUUAAUUUGGUGUCAUGGGGAAUCAGGACUGUUACUUUGAAAAAAUUAGAGUGUUUAAAGCAGGCUCGCGCUUGAAUACAUUAGCAUGGAAUAAUGAAAUAGGACAUUUGAUUCUAUUUUGUUGGUUUCUAGGAUCGAUGUAAUGAUUAAUAGGGAUAGUUGGGGGCAUUAGUAUUCAAUUGUCAGAGGUGAAAUUCUUGGAUUAUUGAAGACUAACUACUGCGAAAGCAUUUGCCAAGGAUGUUUUCAUUAAUCAAAAACGAAGUUAGGGGAUCGAAGACGAUCAGAUACCGUCGUAGUCUUAACCAUAAACUAUGCCGAGCCU